CAAGUUUUUUUUUUAAGCUGGAUGAAGUGGUUCAAAUACCAUGACAAGGAUUCAUUCCUCUCACUUUGUCACGACUCCUCUUCAGGGCAGCAACAAGAUGAAAAUGAGAAGACUUCGAAAUCAAGAAAGUCAAGGAAGCAAAGAAAUACAUGGGAAGACUGACUGGUAAAUAUCCCUGAUACUUCAAGCACGAAUCAAAAAAGACUGACUAUGAUCCAAGUGGCAGACGAGAUUUAUUCAGGAUCAGGUGCAAAACAGUUGUAGCGCAUUUCUUACAACAACUUCGAAUCAGAACUAAGAUUCAAACGCUAAAAUGGAAAACUGGAAAGUUGUUAUUCGUGAUUCUCUCUCAGUUCAAUUCAUGUUAAGGGCUGUUUGAGGCGGAAAAUUUUCCCGCCAAAAAACUUAGAAAAAAUACGGGCGCCCAAAAUACGCAUGCGCCAAUUUUUUUUCUUUCAAAAAAGAAAUCUAAGUUUUAAAUUACGUCUACCUUGCUA
Molecule: long non-coding RNA, 497 nt
Organism: Pocillopora verrucosa
Lineage: Eukaryota; Metazoa; Cnidaria; Anthozoa; Scleractinia; Pocilloporidae
Source: RefSeq, a predicted model, not a curated record